AGAGUUUGAUCAUGGCUCAGAUUGAACGCUGGCGGCAGGCCUAACACAUGCAAGUCGAACGGUAACAGGAAGCAGCUUGCUGCUUUGCUGACGAGUGGCGGACGGGUGAGUAAUGUCUGGGAAACUGCCUGAUGGAGGGGGAUAACUACUGGAAACGGUAGCUAAUACCGCAUAACGUCGCAAGACCAAAGAGGGGGACCUUCGGGCCUCUUGCCAUCGGAUGUGCCCAGAUGGGAUUAGCUAGUAGGUGGGGUAACGGCUCACCUAGGCGACGAUCCCUAGCUGGUCUGAGAGGAUGACCAGCCACACUGGAACUGAGACACGGUCCAGACUCCUACGGGAGGCAGCAGUGGGGAAUAUUGCACAAUGGGCGCAAGCCUGAUGCAGCCAUGCCGCGUGUAUGAAGAAGGCCUUCGGGUUGUAAAGUACUUUCAGCGGGGAGGAAGGGAGUAAAGUUAAUACCUUUGCUCAUUGACGUUACCCGCAGAAGAAGCACCGGCUAACUCCGUGCCAGCAGCCGCGGUAAUACGGAGGGUGCAAGCGUUAAUCGGAAUUACUGGGCGUAAAGCGCACGCAGGCGGUUUGUUAAGUCAGAUGUGAAAUCCCCGGGCUCAACCUGGGAACUGCAUCUGAUACUGGCAAGCUUGAGUCUCGUAGAGGGGGUAGAAUUCCAGGUGUAGCGGUGAAAUGCGUAGAGAUCUGGAGGAAUACCGGUGGCGAAGGCGGCCCCCUGGACGAAGACUGACGCUCAGGUGCGAAAGCGUGGGGAGCAAACAGGAUUAGAUACCCUGGUAGUCCACGCCGUAAACGAUGUCGACUUGGAGGUUGUGCCCUUGAGGCGUGGCUUCCGGAGCUAACGUGUUAAGUCGACCGCCUGGGGAGUACGGCCGCAAGGUUAAAACUCAAAUGAAUUGACGGGGCCCGCACAAGCGGUGGAGCAUGUGGUUUAAUUCGAUGCAACGCGAAGAACCUUACCUGGUCUUGACAUCCACGGAAGUUUUCAGAGAUGAGAAUGUGCCUUCGGGAACCGUGAGACAGGUGCUGCAUGGCUGUCGUCAGCUCGUGUUGUGAAAUGUUGGGUUAAGUCCCGCAACGAGCGCAACCCUUAUCCUUUGUUGCCAGCGGUCCGGCCGGGAACUCAAAGGAGACUGCCAGUGAUAAACUGGAGGAAGGUGGGGAUGACGUCAAGUCAUCAUGGCCCUUACGACCAGGGCUACACACGUGCUACAAUGGCGCAUACAAAGAGAAGCGACCUCGCGAGAGCAAGCGGACCUCAUAAAGUGCGUCGUAGUCCGGAUUGGAGUCUGCAACUCGACUCCAUGAAGUCGGAAUCGCUAGUAAUCGUGGAUCAGAAUGCCACGGUGAAUACGUUCCCGGGCCUUGUACACACCGCCCGUCACACCAUGGGAGUGGGUUGCAAAAGAAGUAGGUAGCUUAACCUUCGGGAGGGCGCUUACCACUUUGUGAUUCAUGACUGGGGUGAAGUCGUAACAAGGUAACCGUAGGGGAACCUGCGGUUGGAUCACCU
This 1528-nucleotide ribosomal RNA is filed under the name Escherichia coli. Its description in RNAcentral is "bacterial SSU rRNA". It matches the Rfam family "Bacterial small subunit ribosomal RNA". The record is from RNAcentral. Lineage: Bacteria; Pseudomonadati; Pseudomonadota; Gammaproteobacteria; Enterobacterales; Enterobacteriaceae.